UCCUUUUGUUAAAAUUUUAAGGUCUAGCCUGCCCACUGAAUAUUGAAUGGCCGCGGUAUUUUGACCGUGCUAAGGUAGCAUAAUCAUUAGUUUUUUAAUUGAAAGCUGGAAUGAAGGGUUGGAUGAAAAAAUUUCUGUCUCUAUUUAAUUUUAUUAAAAUUUUAUUUUUAAGUUAAAAAGCUUAAAUGUAUUUAAAAGACGAGAAGACCCUAUAGAGUUUUAUAAAUUUAAUUUAUAUAAAAUUUAGAAAUUUAAUUUUUUUUAAAAAUUAUAAAUUUAUUUGAUUGGGGUGAUUAAAAAAUUUAAUUAACUUUUUUAUAUUAAUAUAUUAAUUUAUAAAUUAUUGAUCCAAUUAUUUUGAUUAUAAGAAAAAAUUACCUUAGGGAUAACAGCGUAAUUUUAUUUUAGAGUUCAAAU
Molecule: ribosomal RNA, 417 nt
Filed under: Podagricomela sp. BMNH 831451
Lineage: Eukaryota; Metazoa; Arthropoda; Insecta; Coleoptera; Chrysomelidae
Description: partial 16S ribosomal RNA
Source: RNAcentral